GUCGCACAACGAAGUGAACAUCAGGAUGAUGACACUUCAGCAGGACACACCAGGACGGUGUUACAGGGAAAGGCUUCAGGAUGAAGUGAAGAGGAUAACGCGGGAAUGCGUUAAAGGACACCUCCAGGAAGGAGAACGAGAGCCGGUCAGGAUAGUCGGUGGGUCAGGAUGGCCAGGAUGCUUCAGGAUGAAGUAAUCACAUCGGGGUGGUGUGAGCAGGAUGCAAAAUGUUCAGGAUGAACAACAGGUCGCAAGACCAGAGGAAAAGUUGUCACGGAUGAGCAGGGAGCACAAAAAGUAGCUGGAAUGCUGCGAAACGAACCGGGAGCACUGUUUUUACAGUGCUCCCUUUUUUU
This 356-nucleotide non-coding RNA is filed under the name Citrobacter amalonaticus. Lineage: Bacteria; Pseudomonadati; Pseudomonadota; Gammaproteobacteria; Enterobacterales; Enterobacteriaceae. The record is from RNAcentral.